Molecule: transfer RNA, 71 nt
Filed under: Camelus bactrianus (Bactrian camel)
Lineage: Eukaryota; Metazoa; Chordata; Mammalia; Artiodactyla; Camelidae
Also listed under: 2 other names
Rfam family: tRNA
About the family: Transfer RNA (tRNA) molecules are approximately 80 nucleotides in length. Their secondary structure includes four short double-helical elements and three loops (D, anti-codon, and T loops).
Source: Rfam by way of RNAcentral
GAGGAUAUAGCUCAGUGAUAGAGCACAUGCUUAGCAUGCAUGAGGUCCUGGGUUCAAUCCCUAGUGCCUCU